Molecule: ribosomal RNA, 560 nt
Filed under: Lepidotheca macropora
Lineage: Eukaryota; Metazoa; Cnidaria; Hydrozoa; Anthoathecata; Stylasteridae
Description: partial 16S large subunit ribosomal RNA
Rfam family: Bacterial large subunit ribosomal RNA
Source: RNAcentral
CCUAGAAUAAAUCUAGGGCGUAGCCUGCCCAAUGAUCUAAGAAAUAACGCAACCGUUUGAAAAAAGAUUAAAAGGAUGCAGUAUACUAACUGUGAUAAUGUAGCAUAAUCAUUUGCCACCUAAUUAGUGGAUAGCAUGAACGGCUAAACGAAUCCUUAACUUUCUAAAAAAGAAGAAAAAUAAAAUUAAAAUAAUAGUAAAGAUGCUAUUUAAAACUGUAAGACGAAAAGACCCUAUAGAGCUUAACUAUAAUUUCUUAAAAUAGAGAAAUUGGUAGUUUAGUUGGGGCGACUACCUUUUAAACAAAACAAAGGUAAGCAAGAUUAAUGAUUAAUUUAUUGUAAAAUAAAUAAAUUUAACAAUUACUAAAGUAGGCCAUAUAGACCCGUUCUAAUCAAACAAUAAAAAGAACGAUCAAUAAAUAAAAGCUACCUUAGGGAUAACAGGAUAAUUUUGUUAUAGAGAUCCCAUCGAAAACAAAGUUUGUCACCUCUAUGUUGAAUUAAGAUAACCUGACAAAGCAGAAUCUGUCAAAGGUAGGUCUGUUCGACCUUUAAAAU